AUUGAACGCUGGCGGCAUGCUUUACACAUGCAAGUCGAACGGCAGCGCGGGCUUCGGCCUGGCGGCGAGUGGCGAACGGGUGAGUAAUACAUCGGAACGUGCCCAGUAGUGGGGGAUAGCUCGGCGAAAGCCGGAGUAAUACCGCAUACGACCUGAGGGUGAAAGCGGGGGAGCUUCGGAACUCGCGCUAUUGGAGGGGCCGAUGGCAGAUUAGCUAGUUGGUGGGGUAAAGGCCUACCAAGGCGACGAUCUGUAGCUGGUCUGAGAGGACGAGCAGCCACACUGGGACUGAGACACGGCCCAGACUCCUACGGGAGGCAGCAGUGGGGAAUUUUGGACAAUGGGCGAAAGCCUGAUCCAGCAAUGCCGCGUGUGUGAUGAAGGCCUUCGGGUUGUAAAGCACUUUUGGCGGGAACGAAAAGGACUGUGCCAAUACCACGGUUCGAUGACGGUACCCGCAGAAUAAGCACCGGCUAACUACGUG
This 484-nucleotide ribosomal RNA is filed under the name uncultured bacterium. RNAcentral's name for it is "partial 16S ribosomal RNA". It matches the Rfam family "Bacterial small subunit ribosomal RNA", at positions 29 to 507 of the family's 1533-position model. The record is from RNAcentral.